GCGUUUGUAGCUCAACGGGAAAGAGCGCCUGCCUACGAAGCGGGAGGUUGGAGGUUCGAGUCCUCCCAAGCGCGCCG
This 77-nucleotide transfer RNA is filed under the name Nocardia amikacinitolerans. Its description in RNAcentral is "tRNA_Arg_ACG". It matches the Rfam family "tRNA". From Rfam's summary of the family: Transfer RNA (tRNA) molecules are approximately 80 nucleotides in length. Their secondary structure includes four short double-helical elements and three loops (D, anti-codon, and T loops). Lineage: Bacteria; Bacillati; Actinomycetota; Actinomycetes; Mycobacteriales; Nocardiaceae. The record is from RNAcentral.